RNAcentral lists this transfer RNA (64 nucleotides) under Aliterella atlantica CENA595. RNAcentral's name for it is "tRNA-Ala". It matches the Rfam family "tRNA", at positions 5 to 66 of the family's 71-position model. Rfam says of the family: Transfer RNA (tRNA) molecules are approximately 80 nucleotides in length. RNAcentral also lists the same sequence under 1 other name. Lineage: Bacteria; Bacillati; Cyanobacteriota; Cyanophyceae; Chroococcidiopsidales; Aliterellaceae. The record is from RNAcentral.
GUUUAGCUCAGUUGGUAGAGCGCCUGCUUUGCAAGCAGGAUGUCAGCGGUUCGAGUCCGCUAAC